UUGUGUGUGUCAAAUACUGAAACAAAGGUCGUUUUUAUAGUUGACGGCCAUAAAUACGACAAUAAU
Etheostoma spectabile (orangethroat darter) is the source of this 66-nucleotide long non-coding RNA. RefSeq lists it as uncharacterized. NCBI's taxonomy places the organism in Eukaryota, Metazoa, Chordata, Actinopteri, Perciformes, Percidae. The transcript has 4 exons. The record is from RefSeq and is a predicted model, not a curated record.